UAUAAACCGUUGAAGGGGAAGUAAAACCGCAAGACCAACCUCACAGAGAGUCGAGUAGGCUGGAAGCUCGGCAGGUAACGGAGCGGGUAAAUGGGCCCUGGAGGGUGGAGCGAAAAGGCUUGCUUAGGCUUUAGUAGCUACCAACGCAAAGCCAGCGUUAUUGGGCAAAGGGUGUGUUGGCACUCUGCAGGAGAGGAUGCAUUUGUCUUUUGUGCAUCAAUUAAGGUGGUACCGCAGAUUAACGUCUGUCCUUAUC
RNAcentral lists this non-coding RNA (256 nucleotides) under Desulfosporosinus sp. Its description in RNAcentral is "T-box sequence". It matches the Rfam family "T-box leader". Rfam says of the family: Uncharged tRNA acts as the effector for transcription antitermination of genes in the T-box leader family. Lineage: Bacteria; Bacillati; Bacillota; Clostridia; Eubacteriales; Desulfitobacteriaceae. The record is from RNAcentral.